UAGGGAAUCUUCGGCAAUGGACGGAAGUCUGACCGAGCAACGCCGCGUGAGUGAAGAAGGUUUUCGGAUCGUAAAGCUCUGUUGUAAGAGAAGAACGAGUGUGAGAGUGGAAAGUUCACACUGUGACGGUAUCUUACCAGAAAGGGACGGCUAACUACGUGCCAGCAGCCGCGGUAAUACGUAGGUCCCGAGCGUUGUCCGGAUUUUUUGGGGGGUAAAGCGAGGCGCAGGCGGUUAGAUAAGUCUGAAGUUAAAGGCUGUGGCUUAACCAUAGUAGGCUUUGGAAACUGUUUAACUUGAGUGCAAGAGGGGAGAGUGGAAUUCCAUGUGUAGCGGUGAAAUGCGUAGAUAUAUGGAGGAACACCGGUGGCGAAAGCGGCUCUCUGGCUUGUAACUGACGCUGAGGCUCGAAAGCGUGGGGAGCAAACAGGAUUAGAUACCCUGGUAGUCCACGCUGUAAACGAUGAGUGGCUAGGUGUUAGACCCUUUCCGGGGUUUAGUGCCGUAGCUAACGCAUUAAGCACUCCGCCUGGGGAGUACGACCGCAAGGUUG
This 553-nucleotide ribosomal RNA is filed under the name uncultured bacterium. Its description in RNAcentral is "bacterial SSU rRNA". It matches the Rfam family "Bacterial small subunit ribosomal RNA", at positions 355 to 896 of the family's 1533-position model. The record is from RNAcentral.